GCCUGGGUGGCUCAGUCGGUGAAGCAUCUGACUUCGGCUCAGGUCAUGAUCUCACAGUUCAUGAGUUCGAGCCCCAUGUCGGGCU
RNAcentral lists this transfer RNA (85 nucleotides) under Felis catus (domestic cat). It matches the Rfam family "tRNA". Rfam says of the family: Transfer RNA (tRNA) molecules are approximately 80 nucleotides in length. Their secondary structure includes four short double-helical elements and three loops (D, anti-codon, and T loops). Further hydrogen bonds mediate the characteristic L-shaped molecular structure. tRNAs have two regions of fundamental functional importance: the anti-codon, which is responsible for specific mRNA codon recognition, and the 3' end, to which the tRNAs corresponding amino acid is attached (by aminoacyl-tRNA synthetases). tRNAs cope with the degeneracy of the genetic code in two manners: having more than one tRNA (with a specific anti-codon) for a particular amino acid; and 'wobble' base-pairing, i.e. permitting non-standard base-pairing at the 3rd anti-codon position. Lineage: Eukaryota; Metazoa; Chordata; Mammalia; Carnivora; Felidae. The record is from Rfam by way of RNAcentral.